This 253-nucleotide ribosomal RNA is filed under the name uncultured bacterium. Its description in RNAcentral is "partial 16S ribosomal RNA". It matches the Rfam family "Bacterial small subunit ribosomal RNA", at positions 524 to 776 of the family's 1533-position model. The record is from RNAcentral.
CACGUAGGGCGCGAGCGUUGUCCGGAAUUAUUGGGCGUAAAGAGCUCGUAGGCGGCCUGUUGCGUCCGCUGUGAAAGCCCGGGGCUUAACCCCGGGUCUGCAGUGGAUACGGGCAGGCUAGAGGUAGGUAGGGGAGAAUGGAAUUCCCGGUGUAGCGGUGAAAUGCGCAGAUAUCAGGAGGAACACCAAUGGCGAAGGCAGCUCGCUGGGACGUGACUGACGCUGAGACGCGAAAGCGUGGGGAGCAAACAGG